RNAcentral lists this ribosomal RNA (877 nucleotides) under uncultured bacterium. Its description in RNAcentral is "bacterial SSU rRNA". It matches the Rfam family "Bacterial small subunit ribosomal RNA", at positions 505 to 1382 of the family's 1533-position model. The record is from RNAcentral.
GUGGCAGCCGCCGCGGUAAUACGAAGGGACCUAGCGUAGUUCGGAAUUACUGGGCUUAAAGAGCUCGUAGGUGGUUAGAAAAGUUAGUGGUGAAAUCCCAAGGCUUAACCUUGGAACUGCCACUAAAACUUUUUAACUAGAGUGUGAUAGAGGUAAGCGGAAUUUCUAGUGUAGAGGUGAAAUUCGUAGAUAUUAGAAAGAACACCAAUUGCGAAGGCAGCUUUCUGGAUCAUUACUGACACUGAGGAGCGAAAGCAUGGGUAGCGAAGAGGAUUAGAUACCCUCGUAGUCCAUGCUGUAAACGAUGUGUGCUAGACGUUGGAAAUUUAUUUUUCAGUGUCGCAGCAAAAGCGUUAAGCACACCGCCUGGGGAGUACGACCGCAAGGUUAAAACUCAAAUGAAUUGACGGGGACCCGCACAAGUAGUGGAGCAUGUGGUUUAAUUCGAAGAUACGCGCAGAACCUUACCAACACUUGACAUGUUUGUCGCGACUCUAAGAGAUUAGAGUCUUCGGUUCGGCCGGACAAAACACAGGUGCUGCAUGGCUGUCGUCAGCUCGUGUCGUGAGAUGUUGGGUUAAGUCCCGCAACGAGCGCAACCCUUACUUUUAGUUGCCAUCAUUUAGUUGGGCACUCUAAAAGAACUGCCAGUGAUAAGCUGGAGGAAGGUGGGGAUGACGUCAAGUCCUCAUGGCCCUUACGUGUUGGGCUACACACGUGCUACAAUGGUACUUACAAUGGGAUGCAAAGAGGCGACUCUAAGCCAAUCCCAAAAAGGUACCUCAGUUCGGAUUGUACUCUGCAACUCGAGUACAUGAAGCUGGAAUUACUAGUAAUCGUGGAUCAGCGCGCCACGGUGAAUACGUUCCCGGGUCUU